GCUCAGUAACACGUGGAUAAUCUACCCUUAGGACCGGGAUAACCCUGGGAAACUGGGGAUAAUACUGGAUAGGCAAUUAUUCCUGUAAUGGUUUUUUGUUUAAAUGUUUUUUCGCCUAAGGAUGAGUCUGCGGCCGAUUAGGUAGUUGGUUAGGUAAUGGCUUACCAAGCCGUUGAUCGGUACGGGUUGUGAGAGCAAGAGCCCGGAGAUGGAACCUGAGACAAGGUUCCAGGCCCUACGGGGUGCAGCAGGCGCGAAACCUCCGCAAUGUGAGAAAUCGCGACGGGGGGAUCCCAAGUGCCAUUCUUAACGGGAUGGCUUUUCUUAAGUGUAAAGAGCUUUUGGAAUAAGAGCUGGGCAAGACCGGUGCCAGCCGCCGCGGUAACACCGGCAGCUCUAGUGGUAGCUGUUUUUAUUGGGCCUAAAGCGUUCGUAGCCGGUUUAAUAAGUCUCUGGUGAAAUCUUACAGCUUAACUGUGGGAAUUGCUGGAGAUACUAUUAGACUUGAGACCGGGAGAGGUUAGAGGUACUCCCAGGGUAGAGGUGAAAUUCUGUAAUCCUGGGAGGACCGCCUGUUGCGAAGGCGUCUAACUGGAACGGUUCUGACGGUGAGGGACGAAAGUUAGGGGCGCGAACCGGAUUAGAUACCCGGGUAGUCCUAACUGUAAACGAUGCGGACUUGGUGUUGGGGUGGCUUUGAGCCGCUCCGGUGCCGAAGGGAAGCUGUUAAGUCCGCCGCCUGGGAAGUACGGUCGCAAGACUGAAACUUAAAGGAAUUGGCGGGGGAGCAC
This 791-nucleotide ribosomal RNA is filed under the name uncultured Methanobacteriaceae archaeon. RNAcentral's name for it is "bacterial SSU rRNA". It matches the Rfam family "Archaeal small subunit ribosomal RNA", at positions 88 to 879 of the family's 1478-position model. Lineage: Archaea; Methanobacteriati; Methanobacteriota; Methanobacteria; Methanobacteriales; Methanobacteriaceae. The record is from RNAcentral.